GACGAACGCUGGCGGCGUGCUUAACACAUGCAAGUCGAACGGAACGGCCCUGCCUUUGUGGGGUGCUCGAGUGGAGAACGGGUGAGUAACACGUGAGUAACCUGCCACUGACUUUGGGAUAACUUAAGGACACUGGGGCUAAUACCGGAUAGGAGCUCCUGCUGCAUGGUGGGGGUUGGAAAGUUUCGGCGGUUGGGGAUGGACUCGCGGCCUAUCAGCUUGUUGGAGGGGUAGUGGCUUAGCAAGGCUAUGACGGGUAGCCGGCCUGGGAGGGUGACCUGCCCCAUUGGGCUGGGACUGCGGCCCGGCCUCCUACGGUAGGCAGCGCUGGGGUAGGGUGCACAAGGGGCUGAGCCCUAGUGCAGCCACGCCGCGUGCCGUAUGACAUCAAUCGGUUUGGAUUCCACUGUCGCCUUUCACGAAACGUGAGUGACGGUAAUGGGUAAAUAAGCACCGGCUAACUACGUG
This 468-nucleotide ribosomal RNA is filed under the name uncultured bacterium. Its description in RNAcentral is "partial 16S ribosomal RNA". It matches the Rfam family "Bacterial small subunit ribosomal RNA", at positions 28 to 507 of the family's 1533-position model. The record is from RNAcentral.